AGCUUUGCGCAGUGGCAGUAUCAUAGCCAAUGAGGUUUGUUCGAGACGUGAUUACUGCUAAUCAAGAGGGUCUUAAUAAAAGGGAUUCCCAUCGACAUAUCUAUAAAAUGUGGAGGUUGAGCCAAAGGCUCUUAUCAGCCAUAGUAAUCUCUGAUUCUCUUACACUUUUUCCCUGUGAAGA
Molecule: small nuclear RNA, 181 nt
Filed under: Neogale vison (American mink)
Lineage: Eukaryota; Metazoa; Chordata; Mammalia; Carnivora; Mustelidae
Description: Neovison vison (American mink) U4 spliceosomal RNA (ENSNVIG00000017227.1)
Rfam family: U4 spliceosomal RNA (bases 1-65)
Source: RNAcentral